UACGACUGGGAGCCGAUAGACAUUUCCGAGGUCGACGAGAUAUAUUUUCGGAAGAUGAAGGCUGAAUGGGAGCUUCAAAAAAUUAUGGCGGAAAACACCAGAUUGCGGCAGGAGAAUCAACGUCUUAAAACAGCAGCGAAAGGGGUAAGACUGUUUAAGUAUUGUUGUUUUAAAAUGCUACUAGUUGUUGCAGGAGAAGUGGCGCAGUCGCUCUUUAUUUAAAUCUUUUAUUAUACACGUAAUUAGGAAGCGUUCAGUGUUUUUGUUUGUUAUCUUCAAAUUUUGUUAUUUCAAGUUGUUCCGUUGUAUUUAUUGCAUUUGUUCUGUUGUUGUCUUCAUUUGUUUUGUUGAGUUUAGUUGCGUUGUACUAUUCCGUGUUGUAGAAUUUAUUGUUAUGCUGUGAGUUUUGUUUGAUAUAUUUUUGAUGUUUUAGUUUUUCUGUAAUAUUUGGAUGUUUCUCAGUAGUAUUUAGAUUUAUUUUAUUUAUACCGUUAUUGUUUUCCGUAUUCUGUUGGAUUUUCUUAUGUUACUUUGAGUUUCAGAGUUGUUAUUUUUUUACACUACUGAUUUUUCUAUUAUUUGAUUGUUUUAUUGUUUUCCGCUGUAGAUAUUAUUAAUAUUUUUUUCUUUCUUACAUUGCAUCAAAUACAUGAGAGCUAUCGAGGGGAAUCUUCUGGCCUUGGCCUGACUUGCUAGCCUACAACACUGAGAAAUGGCUAUGAGUAGGUGACACAAGGAGUGACGUGAUGGAUCAAACCGAGGAAAUUCAUAGAGAUGGGGCCAAGUCACGAUUUAGCUUUAAUAUUUUUUUUAACAAUUUUUGUUGUAAAAUAAAAUAAAAUAAAUUAAUUUACAAUAAACUAA
Long non-coding RNA from Toxorhynchites rutilus septentrionalis, 864 nucleotides. RefSeq lists it as uncharacterized. The record is from RefSeq and is a predicted model, not a curated record. Lineage: Eukaryota; Metazoa; Arthropoda; Insecta; Diptera; Culicidae. The transcript has 2 exons.